Molecule: long non-coding RNA, 561 nt
Organism: Symphalangus syndactylus (siamang)
Lineage: Eukaryota; Metazoa; Chordata; Mammalia; Primates; Hylobatidae
Source: RefSeq, a predicted model, not a curated record
UCUGAGGCUAGGCCAUAAAAAAAUAUAUAGCUUCUACUCAGCUCUUUCUUGGCCAGCUACGAAGUCAGGAGGGCACUCAAGUAGACAGUGGAAAAACUCAUGUGAAAACGGACCAAGGCCUCCUGACAACAGUCAGCACCAACUUGCAGCCAUCCAUCCCAACCUUCAGCAACCACUGUCCUGAUCAGUCAGCAGUCAUCCACAUUGACGCAAGACGCUCCACCAGCAAAAGGAUUACAACUUGCUGAAGGAAUCGAAUGAAACCAGCCUCUUCCAGGCACAGGAGACUCCUAGACGUGCCGGUGGCCUUCGGCCGGUGCCUGAGCAACACACCGAUCCUGAUCUCGCAACGCAAAGACAGACCAAGCGCCGCAAAGAAGUUGUAGGGCUGUGAGAUGCUCCAGCUCUGCCCUCGGAGAAACGCACUUCAGUGUUAAACCCCAGGGUUCCUCUCAGGCGGAGCAGUGAGCAUGGAGAGCCGGGUCUGGGGCAGAGCCCUCGCCAGACAAAUGGGGCUGGAUCUGUGGCUUUGUAGCUCACAGCCAGGGUAAUAUUUCAAAA